Molecule: ribosomal RNA, 557 nt
Filed under: uncultured Clostridium sp.
Lineage: Bacteria; Bacillati; Bacillota; Clostridia; Eubacteriales; Clostridiaceae
Description: bacterial SSU rRNA
Rfam family: Bacterial small subunit ribosomal RNA
Source: RNAcentral
AGUGGCGGACGGGCGAGUAACGCGUGAGCAACCUGCCUUGUACUGGGGGAUAACGUCGGGAAACCGGCGCUAAUACCGCAUAACACUACGAAAUCGCAUGGUUUUGUAGUCAAAGCUCCGGCGGUACAAGAUGGGCUCGCGUCCGAUUAGCUAGUUGGUAGGGUAACGGCCUACCAAGGCGACGAUCGGUAGCCGAACUGAGAGGUUGAUCGGCCGCAUUGGGACUGAGACACGGCCCAGACUCCUACGGGAGGCAGCAGUGGGGAAUAUUGCGCAAUGGGGGCAACCCUGACGCAGCAACGCCGCGUGAAGGAAGAAGGCCUUCGGGUUGUAAACUUCUUUGAUCGGGGACGAAAAAUGACGGUACCCGAGGAACAAGCCACGGCUAACUACGUGCCAGCAGCCGCGGUAAUACGUAGGUGGCAAGCGUUGUCCGGAAUUACUGGGUGUAAAGGGCGUGUAGGCGGGGAUGCAAGUCAGAUGUGAAAUUCCGGGGCUUAACCCCGGCGCUGCAUCUGAAACUGUAUCUCUUGAGUGCUGGAGAGGAAAGCGGAAUU